GGAGCUUUGGCGCAGCGGUAGCGCGUGUGAUUCCAGCUCGGAACUUCCACAAGGUCAUCGGUUCAAAUCCGAUAAGCUUCA
Molecule: non-coding RNA, 81 nt
Organism: Emericellopsis atlantica
Lineage: Eukaryota; Fungi; Ascomycota; Sordariomycetes; Hypocreales; Bionectriaceae
Source: the annotation of a RefSeq genome assembly